Molecule: transfer RNA, 56 nt
Filed under: Bos taurus (domestic cattle)
Lineage: Eukaryota; Metazoa; Chordata; Mammalia; Artiodactyla; Bovidae
Also listed under: 2 other names
Source: Rfam by way of RNAcentral
AGUCCAGUGGUUAAGACUCUGCACUUCUAAUGCAGAGGGUGUGGAUUCAAUCCCUC